CCUACGGGGGGCAGCAGUGGGGAAUAUUGGGCAAUGGGCGCAAGCCUGACCCAGCAACGCCGCGUGAAGGAAGAAGGCUUUCGGGUUGUAAACUUCUUUUAUCAGGGACGAAGCAAGUGACGGUACCUGAUGAAUAAGCCACGGCUAACUACGUGCCAGCAGCCGCGGUAAUACGUAGGUGGCAAGCGUUAUCCGGAUUUACUGGGUGAAAAGGGCGUGUAGGCGGGAGGGCAAGUCAGAUGUGAAAACUAUGGGCACAACCCAUGGCCUGCAUUUGAAACUGUACUUCUUGAGUGCUGGGGAGGCAGGCGGAAUUCCGGGUGUAGCGGUGAAAUGCGUAGAGAUACGGAGGAACACCAGUGGCGAAGGCGGAUUGCUGGACAGUAACUGACGCUGAGGCGCGAAAGCGUGGGGAGCAAACAGGAUUAGAUACCCGAGUAGUC
This 443-nucleotide ribosomal RNA is filed under the name uncultured bacterium. RNAcentral describes it as "partial 16S ribosomal RNA". It matches the Rfam family "Bacterial small subunit ribosomal RNA", at positions 338 to 795 of the family's 1533-position model. The record is from RNAcentral.